GGUGAAACGGGAAAAUGGUGUGUGGCAGGGUUUCAUCGCAGUAAGCGGGGAGUGGGGGGGAAGGUGUUGUGCGUACUGCCUGACCCACGGGGAGAACAACGCGGCUCAGACGGUUCCCAUAGGCCUGCUGGUUGCAAGGCAGGGCCCAGCCCGGUGAGAAGCCACUGGCCUGCACCCCAGUGAGGGCCCGUGGCCUGGAAGCCCGUGGCAGUCCCGGGGCCGGAGCCAUCUGCUUCCCGCUGGGCAGUCCAGGCGUCCCCACCGCACUCCCCUCCUGGAGCCCCUCUGGGUGCCCCUGACUCGGUCCCAGGAGACUCCCUGCACACGGCAGCAGGGAGGGGCAGGAGCAAGAAGAGGCCCCAGCCCACCCGACUUCCAGUUUCCCAAGGGCCGAGCCCGCCCUGGGGCAGCCCUCACGUGCUGGCCCUGCCACACCGCGGAGGACAGGGACCUGCCCGCUGCGCCCAGCUGAGGACCACCCACAGCCCCUGUCACGGGUUAGCAGUUGAAAGUACAGAAUCGAGCCGACAGGACAAACAGCGAUUUUCUGCGUGGCUCCACGGUACCAAGGGCAUGUGCUACUGCAAACUCUCCGGAUGAUGAGCAUGUUUAGGAUAACUCGGAGAUUGGGAUGAUUUCUGAUUUUCACGCCCCCUCCAACCCAGCGGCCCACGGUAAUCUGCUGAAGCCUGGGGAACAGUGAGAGCAGCCAGGGGCGGUAGUUGGGGGCAGCAGUGGGGGCCCGGGGUCAGGGUUCACUGUCCAGCCCCGUGAGUGCUGAGUGCCCCGGGCGGGGGCAUGCUUCACUGUCCAGCUCCGUGAGUGCCCCUGGUGGGGCAGGGUUCACUGUCCAGCUCUGUGAGUGCCCCUGGUGGGGCAGGGUUCACUGUCCAGCCCUGUGAGUGCCCCUGGUGGGGCAGGGUUCACUGUCCAGCCCUGUGAGUGCCCCUGGUGAGGCAGGGUUCACUGUCCAGCCCUGUGAGUGCCCCUGGUGGGGCAGCGUUUACUGUCCAGCUCCGUGAGUGCCGAGUUGGGGCAGGGUUCACUGUCCAGUCCUGGGCACUCCGCCCUACACUGCUAUCCCAGCUAAAAGGUGAUGCUUCUCUGAGCCAUUCUUUGGCCAAUACCGGCCUCCCCACCUGACGGACAGCCUCAUGAGCACCUGCACUGCUGUAGCUUUUCACGGGUUUUUUUUUUUUUUUUUUUGCUCCUGAUUUUAUCCUUGUCAUCUCCUUUCUUUCCUUUAACCCUGAAAUUUCUUUUCUCCAGGAAUCAGCCAAGUUCCUUCUUCUGCUACAGCACCCAUCCCAAUUCACCAACUCUGGCUUGGGUGGGUGGGUGGGUAGGUGGAUUUGAGGAAGGAAGGAUGGAUGGAGGGAAGGUUGGAUGGGUGGAGGGAUGGGUGGCUGGAUCUGUCGUUGGAGGAUCCGUCGUUGAGUGGUUUGGCAGGUUGUUCAGAUAAAAGAAGUAUGUAAGCUUGGUACGAUCGA
Molecule: long non-coding RNA, 1490 nt
Filed under: Oryctolagus cuniculus (rabbit)
Lineage: Eukaryota; Metazoa; Chordata; Mammalia; Lagomorpha; Leporidae
Description: lncRNA (ENSOCUG00000036731.1)
Source: RNAcentral